Molecule: long non-coding RNA, 675 nt
Organism: Passer domesticus (house sparrow)
Lineage: Eukaryota; Metazoa; Chordata; Aves; Passeriformes; Passeridae
Exons: 3
Source: RefSeq, a predicted model, not a curated record
GGUAAUCUCUACUGCUUGAGUGUAGUUAUGGUGAAAAAAAACCUACCACCACCACAAAAACCCAACCUUUCCCCUCUUUCCAGUCGGAACAUUUAUUCCACCUCUCAUCUUUUGUCUUUGUCCUUUCAAUAUAUACCACUCUGAUGGGCCUGUGUCUGUCUCUCUAACAACUUCCUCACAGAUCCUGAUAAGCUCCAGAUGUGUCUCACUGAAGACUUCUUUCCUCUAGGCUGAGCACACCCAGUCUCCUCACAGGAUAUGCAACCCAGAUCACCAAAUAUCUUGGCAAGAAAUUGAAUAGUGCCUGAUGACAUGGAAAACUACACGAGGCAGGGCGAAAAAAAUCCCUACAGUGCAAAUUCUUGCUAACAACAGACUCAAAGCAAAGAACAAGCUGCCACUAAGAGCUUAUCUGCAGAAAGACCUCCACAAGCAAAAUCCAGCCAUACCUCAUGUCAGAAACAACAAGAAACACAACUGGAUAAUUUAUGGCCAAUCUUCACAAGAGAUGUCAUGAUGAAUAGAACUGACAUGGUGAAAAGAGAUACUUCUGCAAAUGUUAGGAGUCAGAAAAUAAAAAAGUAGCUUAUUUUCAUAUCAGAGAGAAAAGCCAUGAGGCAGGGCAACUACUUGGUAAUGUAGAUAAAAUAUAUAUAAAGAAUUCAAAAAAGUGUU